This 468-nucleotide ribosomal RNA is filed under the name uncultured bacterium. RNAcentral describes it as "partial 16S ribosomal RNA". It matches the Rfam family "Bacterial small subunit ribosomal RNA", at positions 28 to 507 of the family's 1533-position model. The record is from RNAcentral.
GACGAACGCUGGCGGCGUGCUUAACACAUGCAAGUCGAACGGAAAGGCCCUGCUUUUGUGGGGUGCUCGAGUGGCGAAAGGGUGAGUAACACGUGAGAAACCUGCCCUUGACUUUGGGAUAACGUCAGGAAACUGGGGCUAAUACCGGAUAGGAGCUCCUGCUGCGUGGUGGGGGUUGGAAGGUUUCGGCGGUUGGGGAUGGACUCGCGGCUUAUCAGCUUGUUGGUGGGGUAGUGGCUUACCAAGGCUUUGACGGGUAGCCGGCCUGAGAGGGUGACCGGCCACAUUGGGACUGAGAUACGGCCCAGACGCCUACGGGAGGCAGCAGUGGGGAAUAUUGCACAAUGGGCGGAAGCCUGAUGCAGCAACGCCGCGUGCGGGAUGACGGCCUUCGGGUUGUAAACCGCUUUCGCCUGUGACGAAGCGGGAGUGACGGUAAUGGGUAAAGAAGCACCGGCUAACUACGUG